GGAGCUCACAACGAAGUGAAUGGGUUCUUCAUUGGACCCAGGAAAGUUCCCGGGCCCAUUUCCGCAGAGAUGCGGGCUCGGAAACGAGUAAACUUCGUGCACAGGAAAUCCCCCACUUUGCCUUUGGGCGAGUGGGGGCUGAGACACGUGUGGAGCCUUGUUGGAUUUCCUGCCGAAGUAACCUUGGCCGAAAUAACACAGUUAUUCACUUGGUCCUGUUGUUCUAACAGAACGGGGAUUACGAUUGUGGGCUC
RNAcentral lists this RNase MRP RNA (254 nucleotides) under Macleaya cordata. RNAcentral's name for it is "RNase MRP". It matches the Rfam family "RNase MRP". Rfam says of the family: RNase MRP is an enzymatically active ribonucleoprotein with two distinct roles in eukaryotes. In mitochondria it plays a direct role in the initiation of mitochondrial DNA replication. Lineage: Eukaryota; Viridiplantae; Streptophyta; Magnoliopsida; Ranunculales; Papaveraceae. The record is from Rfam by way of RNAcentral.